GCUCGUGGAUCGAUGAAGACCGCAGCUAAAUGCGCGUCAGAAUGUGAACUGCAGGACACAUGAACACCGACAAGUUGAACGCAUAUUGCACAUCGUACAACAGUACGAUGUACACAUUUUUGAGUGCCUAUACUUAUCGAUUUAACUAUGCGCGGGGCGGCGUGUGUGUGUGUGGGUGCGCGGUGUUGUGCGCGCGUUCGAGUCGCCGGCGCGCGAUGUUUGGACAUGCGGGUACACGGCCACACCGUACGCGCCCUUCACACGCCCUGUGCGCAUGCGCAGUGAUGUUUUCCCAGUGAUGGUAAAACAUUGAAGAUAGUCAGACGCGCGCGCGACGCGCGGUUGAUGAGAGUACAAUCCCAUACUCCAGCUUGGCUUGGAUACGUUGUACUUACUCGUUGACAGACGACAGACAGGGUAUAUAUAUAUAGUAGGCCUCAAAUAAUGUGUGACUACCCCCUAAAUUUAAGCA
RNAcentral lists this ribosomal RNA (472 nucleotides) under Coquillettidia linealis. Its description in RNAcentral is "eukaryotic LSU rRNA". The stretch from base 1 to 129 matches the Rfam family "5.8S ribosomal RNA", at positions 24 to 154 of the family's 154-position model. The record is from RNAcentral. Lineage: Eukaryota; Metazoa; Arthropoda; Insecta; Diptera; Culicidae.